AGAGUUUGAUCCUGGCUCAGGAUGAACGCUAGCGACAGGCUUAACACAUGCAAGUCGAGGGGCAGCGGUGGUGAAGGCUUGCCUUCACCAGCCGGCGACCGGCGCACGGGUGAGUAACACGUAUGCAACCUGCCUGCCACAGCCGGAUAAUCGGGAGAAAUCCCGUCUAAUACGGCAUAAUGCAUCGACGGGACAUCCUGUUGGUGCCAAAGGUUAAUUCCGGUGGCGGAUGGGCAUGCGUCGCAUUAGUUAGUUGGCGGUGUAACGGACCACCAAGACGACGAUGCGUAGGGGUUCUGAGAGGAAGGUCCCCCACACUGGUACUGAGACACGGACCAGACUCCUACGGGAGGCAGCAGUGAGGAAUAUUGGUCAAUGGGCGGGAGCCUGAACCAGCCAAGUCGCGUGAGGGAUGACGGCUCUAUGGGUUGUAAACCUCUUUUGCCGGGGAGCAAAGUGCCGCACGUGUGCGGUUUGGAGAGUACCCGGAGAAAAAGCAUCGGCUAACUCCGUGCCAGCAGCCGCGGUAAUACGGAGGAUGCGAGCGUUAUCCGGAUUUAUUGGGUUUAAAGGGUGCGUAGGCGGACGCUUAAGUCAGCGGUAAAAUUGCGGGGCUCAACCUCGUCGAGCCGUUGAAACUGGGUGCCUUGAGUGGGCGAGAAGUACGCGGAAUGCGUGGUGUAGCGGUGAAAUGCAUAGAUAUCACGCAGAACUCCGAUUGCGAAGGCAGCAUACCGGCGCCCGACUGACGCUGAGGCACGAAAGCGUGGGGAUCGAACAGGAUUAGAUACCCUGGUAGUCCACGCAGUAAACGAUGAAUAAUAGCUGUCCGGGUCGAGCGAGAUCUGGGUGGUAAAGCGAAAGCGUUAAGUAUUCCACCUGGGGAGUACCCCCGCAACGGUGAAACUCAAAAGGAAUUGACGGGGGGCCCGCACAAGCGGAGGAACAUGUGGUUUAAUUCGAUGAUACGCGAGGAACCUUACCCGGGCUCAAACGCAGACUGACACACGGUGAAAACCGUAUUUCCCACGGGACAGACUGCGAGGUGCUGCAUGGUUGUCGUCAGCUCGUGCCGUGGGGUGUCGGC
Molecule: ribosomal RNA, 1087 nt
Filed under: uncultured bacterium
Lineage: Bacteria
Description: bacterial SSU rRNA
Rfam family: Bacterial small subunit ribosomal RNA
Source: RNAcentral